This 780-nucleotide ribosomal RNA is filed under the name Triticum aestivum (bread wheat). RNAcentral describes it as "partial small subunit ribosomal RNA". Lineage: Eukaryota; Viridiplantae; Streptophyta; Magnoliopsida; Poales; Poaceae. The record is from RNAcentral.
AUGAAUGGACUUUCAUCUAGGGAGAAGUCUGUGGGGUAUGCUUUAUACUGGCCUCAUGAUGGCACAAGAAGAAAUUCUGCAGCAGCCUUUGCUGCCAUGAAGACCCGUCGCCCUAAACAGGAAGUUAUUAAAGCUCUACUGGACAAGUACAACGAGGACAAUGAUCUUUUAGGGGAUCUUGCAUAUCGACUAGAAGAAAUAGUGAGAUAUAAACCAUGUUUUGACGGGAAAGACUGUGAUUAUAGGUCAUAUUCACAUUUGAAUAUGACCAUAAAGACUAAAGGAGCCGAUGAUCCCCGCAAGAAGCUGUAUUUUGCUGAAGUCACUUGUAUGAGAGGCGAACAUGAAGAGUAUGUGCUCACCUGUAUCUGCGCAGUUGAACCUGAUGCCAAUGGUGAAUGCCUUGUGUGUGGAGAUCAAAUGAAGCACCCCAUUGAUGCUAAAUACAACCAUGGUCGCUCCACGCCAAUCUUUAGAUGUUGUUCCCAUGCAGAUGCAAAAGCCUUGGGUGACGAGUUAAUUACCGUGCAUGAUGAGGCUUGGCUGGAAAAGGAGGAAGCUAGGGUGAGACGAGUGUUCGAGGAAGUGGCUGAGGAUAUCAAGAAGGAGAAAGCAGCGAAACUGGCCGAGGCUAUCAAGGAGGAGAAAGCAGCGAAGCUGGCUAAGGCUAUCAAGGGGGAGAAUGCGUUAAAGGAAGUGAAUGAGGCUACGGAGGUGGGCACCAUAGGGCAUGGCCAUGCAAAGAGCGCCAAGUAUGUAGUACCGGCUAGACGAAAAUGA